GCGUGUAUGGUGUUUAACGGUAGCAUUACGGUCUUCCAAACCGAAGGUACGAGUUCGAAUCUCGUUACACGUUCCA
RNAcentral lists this transfer RNA (76 nucleotides) under Vibrio phage 6E35.1a. RNAcentral describes it as "tRNA-Gly". It matches the Rfam family "tRNA". From Rfam's summary of the family: Transfer RNA (tRNA) molecules are approximately 80 nucleotides in length. Their secondary structure includes four short double-helical elements and three loops (D, anti-codon, and T loops). The record is from RNAcentral. Lineage: Duplodnaviria; Heunggongvirae; Uroviricota; Caudoviricetes; Pantevenvirales; Straboviridae. RNAcentral also lists the same sequence under 17 other names.